GGAACCGAGUCAAGGCCAAGAGGCGACUCGCUUGAGAUACAGAGACUAGAAGAGCAGCAGACUGAGCUGCUAAGGAUUGAGGAUCUUCCUACUUUGAAGCUAUCGGGUAUAAUUUAUACCCUAAUUGUAAAUAUUUCUUUUGAUGUAUGUAUUGCAUAUAAAUGUAUGGACAUGUAAAUGGGUCUUGAGCAGCUUAUACAAAAAUUUGUAUGAAGUUUGUAAUAAAGUUUAGUUUGUGUUUCUUUUGAUAUAAAUUUGUAAGGAUGUGUAUAAAUUGUUUUGUCUUUAAUGAAAUAUGAGUGGAACUAUUUUAUUUAAA
Long non-coding RNA from Hevea brasiliensis (rubber tree), 319 nucleotides. RefSeq lists it as uncharacterized. NCBI's taxonomy places the organism in Eukaryota, Viridiplantae, Streptophyta, Magnoliopsida, Malpighiales, Euphorbiaceae. The transcript has 2 exons. The record is from RefSeq and is a predicted model, not a curated record.